Molecule: ribosomal RNA, 200 nt
Filed under: uncultured bacterium
Lineage: Bacteria
Description: partial 16S ribosomal RNA
Rfam family: Bacterial small subunit ribosomal RNA
Source: RNAcentral
AGAGUUUGAUCCUGGCUCAGGACAAACGCUGGCGGCGUGCGUAACACAUGCAAGUCGAACGAGCCGGGAGACCGGCGAGUGGCGGACGGGUGAGGAACACGUGGAUGACCGACCCACGACAGGGGAAUACCCGGACGAAAGUUCGGUUAAUACCGCAUACGCUGGGGACAGGAAAGCUCUUCGGAGCGGUCGUGGACGGG